This 1252-nucleotide ribosomal RNA is filed under the name metagenome. RNAcentral's name for it is "bacterial SSU rRNA". It matches the Rfam family "Bacterial small subunit ribosomal RNA", at positions 243 to 1520 of the family's 1533-position model. The record is from RNAcentral.
AGCUAGUUGGUGAGGUAACGGCCCACCAAGGCGACGAUCGGUAGCCGGACUGAGAGGUUGAACGGCCACAUUGGGACUGAGACACGGCCCAGACUCCUACGGGAGGCAGCAGUGGGGAAUAUUGCACAAUGGGGGAAACCCUGAUGCAGCGACGCCGCGUGGAGGAAGAAGGUCUUCGGAUUGUAAACUCCUGUUGUUGAGGAAGAUAAUGACGGUACUCAACAAGGAAGUGACGGCUAACUACGUGCCAGUAGCCGCGGUAAAACGUAGGUCACAAGCGUUGUCCGGAAUUACUGGGUGUAAAGGGAGCGCAGGCGGGAGAACAAGUUGGAAGUGAAAUCCAUGGGCUCAACCCAUGAACUGCUUUCAAAACUGUUUUUCUUGAGUAGUGCAGAGGUAGGCGGAAUUCCCGGUGUAGCGGUGGAAUGCGUAGAUAUCGGGAGGAACACCAGUGGCGAAGGCGGCCUACUGGGCACCAACUGACGCUGAGGCUCGAAAGUGUGGGUAGCAAACAGGAUUAGAUACCCUGGUAGUCCACACCGUAAACGAUGAUUACUAGGUGUUGGAGGAUUGACCCCUUCAGUGCCGCAGUUAACACAAUAAGUAAUCCACCUGGGGAGUACGACCGCAAGGUUGAAACUCAAAGGAAUUGACGGGGGCCCGCACAAGCAGUGGAGUAUGUGGUUUAAUUCGACGCAACGCGAAGAACCUUACCAAGUCUUGACAUCCCUUGACGAUGCUGGAAACAGUAUUUCUCUUCGGAGCAAGGAGACAGGUGGUGCAUGGUUGUCGUCAGCUCGUGUCGUGAGAUGUUGGGUUAAGUCCCGCAACGAGCGCAACCCUUAUGGUCAGUUACUACGCAAGAGGACUCUGGCCAGACUGCCGUUGACAAAACGGAGGAAGGUGGGGAUGACGUCAAAUCAUCAUGCCCUUUAUGACUUGGGCUACACACGUACUACAAUGGCGUUAAACAAAGAGAAGCAAGACCGCGAGGUGGAGCAAAACUCAGAAACAACGUCCCAGUUCGGACUGCAGGCUGCAACUCGCCUGCACGAAGUCGGAAUUGCUAGUAAUCGUGGAUCAGCAUGCCACGGUGAAUACGUUCCCGGGCCUUGUACACACCGCCCGUCACACCAUGAGAGCCGGGGGGACCCGAAGUCGGUAGUCUAACCGUAAGGAGGACGCCGCCGAAGGUAAAACUGGUGAUUGGGGUGAAGUCGGAACAAGGUAGCCGUAGGAGAACCUGCGGCUG